Molecule: unclassified non-coding RNA, 402 nt
Filed under: soil metagenome
Description: partial contains 5.8S ribosomal RNA, internal transcribed spacer 2, and large subunit ribosomal RNA
Rfam family: 5.8S ribosomal RNA (bases 1-121)
Source: RNAcentral
GAUGAAGAACGUAGCGAAAUGCGAUAAGUAAUGUGAAUUGCAGAAUUCAGUGAAUCAUCGAAUAUUUGAACGCACCUUGCGCCCUUUGGCUAUUCCGAAGGGCAUGCCUGUUUGAGUAUCGUGAACACCUCAACUCUCAUGGUUUGCCAUGAUGAGCUUGGACUUUGGGGGUUUUGCUGGCCUUUGGUCGGCUCCUCUCAAACGGAUCAGCUUUCCAGUGUUUGGUGGCGUCACGGGUGUGAUAACUAUCUACGCCUGUGGUUUUCUGCCAGAUAACCUUCAGCGAUGGAGGUUCGCUGGGGCUCAUAAAUGUCUCUCUUCAGUGGAGACAGCUUUUUGGACGUUUGAUCUCAAAUCAGGUAGGACUACCCGCUGAACUUAAGCAUAUCAAUAAGCGGAGGA